This 72-nucleotide transfer RNA is filed under the name Camelus bactrianus (Bactrian camel). It matches the Rfam family "tRNA". From Rfam's summary of the family: Transfer RNA (tRNA) molecules are approximately 80 nucleotides in length. Lineage: Eukaryota; Metazoa; Chordata; Mammalia; Artiodactyla; Camelidae. The record is from Rfam by way of RNAcentral. RNAcentral also lists the same sequence under 1 other name.
AAGGGUGUAGCUCAGUGGUAGAGCGCGUGCUUAGCAUGCACAAGAUCCUGGGUUCAAUCCCCAGUACCUCCA